GACGAAGGUGGCGAGCGUUGUUCGGAAUCACUGGGCAUAAAGCGCACGUAGGCGGUGCCGUAAGUCGGAUGUGAAAUCCCUCGGCCUAACCGAGGAACUGCGUCCGAUACUGCGGUGCUUGAGGUUCAGAGGGGUGCAUGGAAUUUCCGGUGGAGCGGUGAAAUGCGUUGAUAUCGGAAGGAACUCCGGCGGCGAAAGCGAUGCACUGGCUGAUUUCUGACGCUGAGGUGCGAAAGCCAGGGGAGCAAACGGG
Molecule: ribosomal RNA, 253 nt
Filed under: uncultured bacterium
Lineage: Bacteria
Description: partial 16S ribosomal RNA
Rfam family: Bacterial small subunit ribosomal RNA
Source: RNAcentral